GAAACGUCGCUCACACCCGUCCCCACUAAACCGAAAUUAACCCUUUGUUAGAACAUGGAUUCAGUGUUGGGAGCAGAAGUCACUCUGGACCAAUGAGAAGUCACCACUGACCACAGAGGUCACCACAGAGGUCACCACUGACCACCAGGAUUUCUCAUCCUCAACAUUUUACCCCUGGUCUUGUAUUUGCCCCCAAAACUACUAAUGCA
Molecule: long non-coding RNA, 209 nt
Organism: Cynoglossus semilaevis (tongue sole)
Lineage: Eukaryota; Metazoa; Chordata; Actinopteri; Pleuronectiformes; Cynoglossidae
Exons: 2
Source: RefSeq, a predicted model, not a curated record